GAUAUGGCUCAGGAUGAACGCUAGCGACAGGCCUAACACAUGCAAGUCGAGGGGCAGCGCGGAGUAGCAUACUUGGCGGCGACCGGCGCACGGGUGAGUGACACGUAUGCAACCGACCCAUAACAGGGGGAUAACCCGGAGAAAUCCGGGACUAAUACCGCAUAAGACCACGAUAUCGCAUGAUAUAGAGGUCAAAUAUUUAUAGGUUAUGGACGGGCAUGCGUCUGAUUAGCUGGUUGGCGGGGUAACGGCCCACCAAGGCAUCGAUCAGUAGGGGUUCUGAGAGGAAGGUCCCCCACAUUGGAACUGAGACACGGUCCAAACUCCUACGGGAGGCAGCAGUGAGGAAUAUUGGUCAAUGGGCGAAAGCCUGAACCAGCCAUGUCGCGUGAAGGAUUGAAGGUCCUAUGGAUUGUAAACUUCUUUUGCAGGAGGGUAAAGUGAGCUACGUGUAGUUCAUUGCAAGUACCCUGCGAAUAAGCAUCGGCUAACUCCGUGCCAGCAGCUGC
RNAcentral lists this ribosomal RNA (509 nucleotides) under uncultured bacterium. Its description in RNAcentral is "bacterial SSU rRNA". It matches the Rfam family "Bacterial small subunit ribosomal RNA", at positions 15 to 518 of the family's 1533-position model. The record is from RNAcentral.